This 628-nucleotide ribosomal RNA is filed under the name uncultured bacterium. RNAcentral's name for it is "bacterial SSU rRNA". It matches the Rfam family "Bacterial small subunit ribosomal RNA", at positions 875 to 1510 of the family's 1533-position model. The record is from RNAcentral.
GGGGAGUACGUUCGCAAGAAUGAAACUCAAAGGAAUUGACGGGGGCCCGCACAAAGCGGAGGAACAUGUGGUUUAAUUCGAUGAUACGCGAGGAACCUUACCCGGGCUUGAAAUGCAGAAGACCGACGAAGAAAUUCGUUUUCCAGCAAUGGCUUCUGUGUAGGUGCUGCAUGGUUGUCGUCAGCUCGUGCCGUGAGGUGUCGGCUUAAGUGCCAUAACGAGCGCAACCCUUAUCAUUAGUUACUAACAGGUUAAGCUGAGGACUCUAAUGAGACUGCCACCGUAAGGUGUGAGGAAGGUGGGGAUGACGUCAAAUCAGCACGGCCCUUACGUCCGGGGCGACACACGUGUUACAAUGGGGGGUACAGAGGGUCGCUACCACGCGAGUGGAUGCUAAUCUCAUAAAGCCUCUCUCAGUUCGGAUCGGAGUCUGCAACUCGACUCCGUGAAGCUGGAUUCGCUAGUAAUCGCGCAUCAGCCAUGGCGCGGUGAAUACGUUCCCGGGCCUUGUACACACCGCCCGUCAAGCCAUGGAAGCUGGGGGGACCUGAAGUACGUAACCGCAAGGAGCGUCCUAGGGUAAAACUAGUAACUGGGGCUAAGUGGUAACAAGGUAACCAAGGGCGAA